UUGAAAGGGAAACGAUUGAAGUCAGUCAUACCAACGGGAAAUCAACCUUUUGAGCUCGGUCUCGUGGGUUUUGAAGAGUUUCAAAGCCUUCGGAUUCGCGGGAUUGGGAUCUCUCGGUGUACUUUUUCGUACGGUUAGUCAACAUCGGUUUUGAAUGUCAUAAAAUGACUGGAGGAAUGUAGCUUCGAUCUCGUAUUGAAGUGUUAUAGCCUUUGGUAGAUGUGAUGUUUGAGACCGAGGAUUGCAACGGAUACCCUUCAGGGCUAUUCGUCUGAUCUCUGAUACGUUGCCUUGAUGUUGAAAGCUUGCUUAUGAUGUUAGGGUAUUACGGUCAAAAGGUUAGAACGAAUUACAUUCGUUAAGGAUGUUGACGUA
RNAcentral lists this ribosomal RNA (375 nucleotides) under uncultured Glomeromycotina. RNAcentral's name for it is "LSU rRNA". The record is from RNAcentral. Lineage: Eukaryota; Fungi; Glomeromycota.